UUUUUUUUAGUAAAAGCAUGUGCGUAGCGAGCAGUACAGUUCGCGUCGCCUGCCCAACAUGGGCCUCGCCCAGCCAGCGCAAGCAGAGCUAGGAAGAGAGGGCACGUCUUUUUUUCCAUUUAUUUUUAAAUUUUUAGUUUGAGAAAAAAAAUCAUGAUUACAAAAAAAAUGUGAAUUCAAAAAACGUUCAAACAAUGUUAUUGAAUUAGGAAUAUGUUCAUGAGUUACAAGAAUGUUCUUAUAUUCAAAUUUUACAUGAAUUCUAAACAUGUUUGGGAAUUCUUUUUUUUUGUGAAUUCAAAAAAAUAUUCAUGAAUAUGAAAAUGUACAUGAAUUUUGAAAAAUAUCAUGAAUUCAGAAAUUUCGCAAAUUUUAAAGAAUGUUGCGAAUUAAAAUAUUUCAAUUUUGUAAAAGUUCUUGAAUUAAAAAAACAAAUGAUAAAGAGGAAAAUGAAAAAAAAAUUGAAAGAAUAACAUAACUAGAAAAUAGAAAACAGAAAAGAGAUUAAAAUCGGACGAAAGGUUCAAGAACCUUCCGAGAAAUAGAUGGAAGGUUCAUGAACGAAUGUCUAGUGUGCAUGCAUUUUCAUUGUAGAUACUCCCUCCGUCUAGGUGUGUAAGUCAUCUUACGAAAUCCAAAUAAUCCCAAAACACUUAGGCGCGGUGCAUUAAAUUCUACCUUAUUUCUUGUUUCUUGACAUAUCAACCAAUAAGAGAUGUGGGGUGUGCAUGCUUUUAAUGACUUGAAACUACCAAAGACGACAUGCAGUGGUUAGUUCAUUGCAUGCAAUGCUAUUAAUUAGCAAAUGAACAUUAAGUUCUCUCGUUUUCUCCACCUCCUUGGUCACGGUGCACAACCUAAGAUGACUUACUCACCUAGACGGAGGGAGUAAGUGACACCCAAUCCCACCUUCACAUUGGCACUGUUACUUCAUAAAGAGGAAAAAAAUGCAACUGUUAGUAACUUUACGGAUUGGCACCAUAAUGUGACGAUUUGUUCUGAAAAGUGCUAAAAAGAAUAUUUUCUUGAGAAAGAUCCUCCACCGGAUAACGCCGCUCAGGAUGAUAUAAAAUGUAUAUUAUCGGACAAGGAGUGAUGAUUCCUUAGCAGUACAAUGUAUCAUGCUUGCAUCUAUGGAGCCAGAACUUCAAAAACGUUCUAAAAUUUAUGGUGUUCAUGACAUAAUCGCGGAGAUGACAACUUUGUGUUCAAAUACAAGCAAGAGCUGGAAAAUAUGAGAUGAAAGAUGGAACUUCAGUGAGCCAACACUUACUCAAGUUAGUUGGGUAUUGGCUGGAGACUUUAGGCCUUAAAUUUCCACCUGAGUUGGGCACUGAUCUUGUCCUCGCAUCUCUCCCUCAGAGCUACAAUGGCUUUACCAUGAAUUGUUACAUGAAUGGGGUGAACAAGAGUCUGAAUGAAUAUUUCAACAUGCUCAAGACCGCAAAAGUUGAAACACAGAAGGACGUUAAUCAUGUGAUGAUGGUGAGCAAAACAACCAACUUCAAGAAGAAGGGUAAGGCCAAGAAGGGUGUCGGUAAGAACAACACAAUGAAAGGCCUAAAGGUGGUGCAUCCUCUGAUGCAGCUGAGGGUCGACCUCCCAAUCCAAAUACCAUGCAGUCGCGCACCCACGACCACAAAUAGUUGGAUGGGGAGGAAGCCCCACAACACCUGAGGCGGGGAGGGAGGGGAGGGCCGGCGACGAGGGUGGGAAGGACGGCUAGGAGGGGGAUGGCCGACGGCAUCUGAGCGGCCGACGCCGAUGGAAGCCGGUGGACUAUCACGAGAGCGGGCGGGCAUGACUACUUUUUUCAUGUCAGCUCGAGGAUCCACUAGUAUGAGAUCCCACCGUAAUUUUUUUCAUGUCAGCUCGAGGAUCCACUAGUAUGAGAUCCCACCGUAAUUUUAGCUUGUACUAAUAACAAAUAUCAAAUCAAUACUACGUCAACCCACUAAUAUCAACUACUGUAAAAAACACUCUUAUAUAGGGCAAGAGUUCGUCUUCGGUAUUUUUAGAAUCAUACUUGCUACCAUUGAUGGAUACCUUGAAAUUUCAAGGUGCAACAAUCAACAGGUUUCUCAGGUGUCAGAUUUUUUUUUAAAAUAGUUUUUUUUUAUUUUACUGUUCUAACGAGUGCGCUUGAAACCAUGUUCCAAAAAUUCCUGUCCAGCAACAAAUAAACAAAUUUACUAGGUAUAUAUUAUGCAUCAACUACAAAACAACCAAUACAGCAGAAAAUAAAUAUCCGACCUCUCACCCCCAAAAAGUUUAUAUUGAAAACUCAAAAUAAGAAGUUCAUAUUGACUUGUGUAAAAGCAAACAAAAUCAGCUGCUAUGAAAUUUAGCAAGAUAGAUGACUAUAUACUUGCAAGGAAAUCCAUUUUGUGGGGCGACUAUAACAAGCCAUACAUUACAUAUUGGGUGUAAGACGCGACAUACAUAAAGCCCAUUCGAUCAGCA
Molecule: long non-coding RNA, 2463 nt
Filed under: Triticum aestivum (bread wheat)
Lineage: Eukaryota; Viridiplantae; Streptophyta; Magnoliopsida; Poales; Poaceae
Description: long non-coding RNA (TAES_LNC027905)
Source: RNAcentral